AGAGACAGCAGCCGCCGCGGUAAUACAGAGGGUGCGAGCGUUAAUCGGAUUUACUGGGCGUAAAGCGUGCGUAGGCGGCUUCUUAAGUCGGAUGUGAAAUCCCUGAGCUUAACUUAGGAAUUGCAUUCGAUACUGGGAAGCUAGAGUAUGGGAGAGGAUGGUAGAAUUCCAGGUGUAGCGGUGAAAUGCGUAGAGAUCUGGAGGAAUACCGAUGGCGAAGGCAGCCAUCUGGCCUAAUACUGACGCUGAGGUACGAAAGCAUGGGGAGCAAACAGGAUUAGAGACCCGUGUAGUCCCUGUCUCUUAUAC
RNAcentral lists this ribosomal RNA (309 nucleotides) under uncultured bacterium. RNAcentral's name for it is "partial 16S ribosomal RNA". It matches the Rfam family "Bacterial small subunit ribosomal RNA", at positions 504 to 807 of the family's 1533-position model. The record is from RNAcentral.